CCCCAGUAGGCUAGUUAGCGAGGCAGGAUGACCCAUGGUUAGGGCACUAGGCUACGAUUCAAAAGAUCUGGGGUCAAUUCCCUGCUCUGCCCAAGACUUCUGGUGUGACCAUGCCCAAGUCACGGCGUGUCUCAGUUCCUCACGCUACCUGCCAGAAGAUUGUCAGAUGCUCCGAUAUUGUGGUACCCUGUGUAUACCCUACAGGCCCUGAUGAUAGCAAGCAGAGACCAGAGCAAGUGAAGCAAGAAGAAAAAGAAAAGAAGUAACAGCGAAGAAAUGCUACGAGCAAGAGGAAAUUGCAUGCCCCUGGAAUUGCCUCACUGAAUUAUAUACAAACCAUACAGCAUCAGCUACACCCAGCACCAACAGUGACAGCAACCACAGAGCCACAGCGAGUGCAUGCACAGGACAAAGCCGAGGAUUGUAACCAGCAACAAAUCCAGGCAGAAUGCCACAUCUGCUUUCCCAGUUUAAGAAAACCAAACCCGACUAUUAGUGUGAUACCGAUGGCAGCCUCCCAAAUGAGUGAAUUAAAAAAUCGUCACUGCAGGAAUGCCCGAGCAUCCAUCUAAUAACACAGGCCACCAAGGACAGCCACUCUGCUCAGCUCAUGUCUGUCACUGACUCCACACGCUUCACACGCAUACACGCAGAUCCAGGCUUGCUUGCUGAGUAACUGGAAACAGUUGGUGGGUUGGUUGAGUCAGUGAGAGGGAAAAGGUUGUCUCAUUUCCUUUAUCCCCCCCCCAUUUCACCCCACACCAGUUCUAGCCCCCUCCCACACCCCCAAAACAC
Long non-coding RNA from Mauremys mutica (yellowpond turtle), 795 nucleotides. RefSeq lists it as uncharacterized. The transcript is spliced from 3 exons. NCBI's taxonomy places the organism in Eukaryota, Metazoa, Chordata, Testudines, Geoemydidae. The record is from RefSeq and is a predicted model, not a curated record.